GUUUAUAUCAUAUCUCAAGCUUGGUCCGCGUUAGGGUGCUAGAUGCGAGUUAUAUAGCGCUAUCGACACUACCGAUGUUUGGCCGAUAUCGAGCCGCAAUCGAUAGUGACCCAACCACUAGGCGUCGGAGGUCCGCAACGCCUACUGUUUUGGGUGAGCGAUGAAACAGCAAAUCGAAAACGCACGAGUGGAUUCUAUCCUUAAUAAUUAAGAUAUUUAAUAGGAAAAUUAAUAGGAUAUUGACAUCUCCAGGCAAUAUCUGCAGAGCGAAAUUGCCAGUCAAGAAAUGGACCCAUUGUUAUGGAUUAAGGUGAAUCAAACUGAUUUUCCCUGCAUAAAUGGCCUGUUUUGCAAAUACCUUUGCAUUCCUGCUACAUCCGUAGAAUCGAAAAGAGCGUUCAGCAAGGCAGGGCAAAUUGUUUCUGAGAGACGUACCCGGCUUAAAAAGGAAAAUAUUAACAUACUCUUAUUUUUAAAUAAAAAUUUUUAGUUAAACUAU
This is a long non-coding RNA of Drosophila ananassae, 499 nucleotides long. RefSeq lists it as uncharacterized. Lineage: Eukaryota; Metazoa; Arthropoda; Insecta; Diptera; Drosophilidae. The record is from RefSeq and is a predicted model, not a curated record. The transcript is spliced from 2 exons.